ACGCCAGUCUGCGUGGAGCCGACCUUGAAAUACCACCCUUUAAUGUUUGAUGUUCUAACGUGGACCCGUUACCCGGGUUGCGGACAGUGUCUGGUGGGUAGUUUGACUGGGGCGGUCUCCUCCUAAAGAGUAACGGAGGAGCACGAAGGUUGGCUAAUCCUGGUCGGACAUCAGGAGGUUAGUGCAAUGGCAUAAGCCAGCUUGACUGCGAGCGUGACGGCGCGAGCAGGUGCGAAAGCAGGUCAUAGUGAUCCGGUGGUUCUGAAUGGAAGGGCCAUCGCUCAACGGAUAAAAGGUACUCCGGGGAUAACAGGCUGAUACCGCCCAAGAGUUCAUAUCGACGGCGGUGUUUGGCACCUCGAUGUCGGCUCAUCACAUCCUGGGGCUGAAGUAGGUCCCAAGGGUAUGGCUGUUCGCCAUUUAAAGUGGUACGCGAGCUGGGUUUAGAACGUCGUGAGACAGUUCGGUCCCUAUCUGCCGUGGGCGCUGGAGAACUGAGGGGGGCUGCUCCUAGUACGAGAGGACCGGAGUGGACGCAUCACUGGUGUUCGGGUUGUCAUGCCAAUGGCACUGCCCGGUAGCUAAAUGCGGAAGAGAUAAGUGCUGAAAGCAUCUAAGCACGAAACUUGCCCCGAG
This 636-nucleotide ribosomal RNA is filed under the name Salmonella enterica. Its description in RNAcentral is "partial 23S ribosomal RNA". It matches the Rfam family "Bacterial large subunit ribosomal RNA", at positions 2168 to 2803 of the family's 2925-position model. Lineage: Bacteria; Pseudomonadati; Pseudomonadota; Gammaproteobacteria; Enterobacterales; Enterobacteriaceae. The record is from RNAcentral. RNAcentral also lists the same sequence under 1 other name.